Molecule: ribosomal RNA, 477 nt
Filed under: uncultured archaeon
Lineage: Archaea
Description: bacterial SSU rRNA
Rfam family: Archaeal small subunit ribosomal RNA
Source: RNAcentral
GUUAUCGGGGUUCGAUUAAGCCAUGCGAGUCGAGAGGGUUCGGCCCUCGGCGUACUACUCAGUAACACGUGGAUAACCUGCCCUAAGGAAGGGGAUAACCUCGGGAAACUGAGGAUAAUACCCUAUAGGUUACAGAUGCUGGAAUGCCCUGUAACCGAAAGCUCCGGCGCCUUAGGAUGGAUCUGCGGCCGAUUAGGUUGUUGUUGGGGUAACGGCCCAACAAGCCGAUAAUCGGUACGGGUUGUGGGAGCAAGAGCCCGGAGUUGGAUUCUGAGACACGAAUCCAGGCCCUACGGGGCGCAGCAGGCGCGAAAACUUUACAAUGCGGGAAACCGUGAUAAGGGAACCCCGAGUGCCUGUAUAUGCAGGCUGUCCAGGUGUCUAAAAAACACCUGAAGAAAGGGCCGGGCAAGACCGGUGCCAGCCGCCGCGGUAAUACCGGCGGCUCGAGUGGUGGCCACUUUUAUUGGGCUUAAA